CCCUUUACCCCUUUCUCUUUUCCCUUCAAACCCUAACGGGUUCGUCAAUAUUAUCGAUGCCUCAUGAUGCUGAAAGACAACCUCCACUGUAAAUCGAUUCGGCAUGUUAAGAAUUUGUUCACUGAUUAUGGAUAACCAAAUUCAUGUCGUUACGCAUAACCGAGAGCUUAAUAUAUGGAAGCAAACUUUACAACAGCAUCAAACCUAUGCCAUAUUGCUUGGAUGAGCCUAUGCUAAAUGAGAUCCCAUUGAAAAUUGUAGAGUUUAUGUCAUUCUUAUUAACCGUGGGUAGCGAAGCUGCUAUGGUGAAAUUAAUUGAUCUUGGAGCAGUCCCGAAACGCUACGAUGUGACAGAGCAUGAGAAUGUCAUGUAUUUUGCAAAUAUGUAAAGCUUGAAAGUUGUGAAAUUGAAGAAAUUGUUGGUAGUAAAAUGUUACUUGCAUUUGUAGAUAAGUUGAUAGAGUUUGAUACUUCUUAAUAUUUGCUGCUGUUUCCGUAUUCAAAGGACUUGAUAUUUUUGGUGCACAUAUGGGAAAACUUACAAGUAGAAAAAAUGCUUCAACAAGGAUACCUAUCUAAUACUGUUGCAAUUAGUGGGGACAGAUCACAGCAUGAAUGUGUUGCAACUAAUUGGAUCUCAUGAUUGGAAUCCACAUAAUUUGACAUUUUCAUUCUUUAGAUAUACCACAUGCCUGGUUUGAUCAAUUAUUCUAUACAAGUUAUAACUUCUAUUUUCUUUGUUCAGAACCAAAAAGAUUAUGCUGGAGCAGCAGAGGAACAACGUAAAGAAGCUGAAGUCGAAGCAAAGGCUCUUCGAACAAUGACAAAGAGAAUGGUUUUGAACCAAGAAUAAAUGGUCUGGAUUUUUCUUGUGUCUCGAUUCAUAUUUUUAUAUCUUUCAGUAGGAUGUGGUCUGAGAAGCAUAUUUUACAUUGGCCUGUUCAUCUAUUACCAUUUUCAAAUGAGUGCAUAUAAUUCUUAUGGUGUGUUAUUUCCAUGCUUUUAAGGCACAUGUGCAGAUAUAGCACAAUCCAAGCAUGAAAAUUUGUAUGCUUUGGUUCCUCUUCCUUUUGAACUUGACACCUCUGUUAGACAAAAGGCUUAAGGAGGAAUCUUGGAACAAAAGUGUCGAUGGUUCAGAUAAAAUCAAAAUUGUUUGCGACGUAAAUGAUCUUGCUGGGGAAGGAAACAUAGACAAUAUGCUUUCAGUUGAGACGAGUUUGAGGGAACUUGCUUCUCUUAAGGUUCUUAAUGAAUAUUAUUGAAGUUAAUGAUAUUUGUUGAGGUCUUACUGAAAUAUAAUGUUUGAGCUAAUUGUCCAUCUAUGUCAUACAAUAUAUAUGCCACUAACAUAGUAUUUCCACUUAUACUUGUAUCAUUUUUAGCCACUUAUACUUCAUUACAGUCUAAACAUUAAAGAGGACAUAAUCACUUAGAAUUUUGACAUUUAUGCAGUUGACAUGACAACUCCCCCUUCUAAAGCAGAGUGGCCUUCAGAUAUUGGCCAAGGAUUGUUUUGAGUCAGUAAUAUUCUUCUGAUAUAAAAUGUUUUAUGAUUCAUGAAGUAUUAAACAGCUAGCCAGUUUGUGGGUUUUCAGGCAAGUUAACCAAUUAACUGUUAAUCUUUUAUUAUAUUAUUUAUAAAGGAAGAUUAUAUGACAAGAGUGGAUAUACAGGAUGAGGAAAAUAAUGUUAGCUACAGUUAGAUCUGUAUUUUUAGUUGUAGAGUUCAUUUGUGGAUGUGUUGCCAAUCUUGUCGGUUCCACAUUUAAUGAA
Long non-coding RNA from Vicia villosa (hairy vetch), 1776 nucleotides. RefSeq lists it as uncharacterized. The record is from RefSeq and is a predicted model, not a curated record. The transcript has 6 exons. Lineage: Eukaryota; Viridiplantae; Streptophyta; Magnoliopsida; Fabales; Fabaceae.